UACGUAGGGUGCAGGCGUUAAUCGGAAUUACUGGGCGUAAAGCGUGCGCAGGCGGUUUGUUAAGACAGAUGUGAAAUCCCCGGGCUUAACCUGGGAACUGCGUUUGUAACUGGCAAGCUAGGGUGUGGCAGAGGGGGGUGGAAUUCCAAGUGUAGCAGUGAAAUGCGUAGAUAUUUGGAGGAACACCAAUGGCGAAGGCAGCCCCCUGGGUUAACACUGACGCUCAUGCACGAAAGCGUGGGGAGCAAACAGG
RNAcentral lists this ribosomal RNA (253 nucleotides) under uncultured bacterium. Its description in RNAcentral is "partial 16S ribosomal RNA". It matches the Rfam family "Bacterial small subunit ribosomal RNA", at positions 524 to 776 of the family's 1533-position model. The record is from RNAcentral.